GCAGGCUCGGGUUACCUGCGAAAACUCACCCGCGGAGAGGAGGCGGCCUUGGGGAACCGACCCCCCCACCCCUCCUCCCAGCCGCACCUUGAGACUUCUAGGCUGGGGAAGGUGAACCAUCUAAAGUGGCAAACCAGCCAACCAACAGGAUAUGGACCCAGCCAGGUCUGAAUGCAGGCCCUACUGGACAGGGGACCCCGGUGCCCCAGCAACUAUUUUUCCACACCAAUGUGACCAACAACAACAGGAAGGAGCUUCUUGGUAACGAAGAGUAGAUGGAUGGACAGAGGUGCUCCCAUUCCACUACAUAGCGCUGCGUCAGAUGGCCCCUCCUCCAGGUGUGGUCUGACUGGGCAGCAUUGGCCUCACCUGGGAGCUGAGCUUGUUGGCUAUGCAGGAUCUUGGACCCUGCUUCCAUCUGCUGCAUCAGAAUCUGCAUGGGAGCAAGGUCACCAGAUGAAAACCAGCGUGUCCACUGGUGAGACGAACUGUUCCAUGAGCCGGGGCCAGGAAAAGGCAGCAAACAAAAUGAACAGUCAGCCGAGUAGCGUUUGCUAGAGAUUUACAUGGAAACCUGCUCACAGAUGCAGGGCUGCUGGAUUUAUAACAAGGGUGGGAUAAUUUGUUCUUGUGUGCUAAGAUAAGGGCAAACAAAUUUCAUGCUGUGAUGUAAGCUCCUAUCUGCAGAAGUCAGGAAAGAUUCCCUGCCCUGCUGCCGAACUGCGUCCUUGACAAAUUAUCCUGAGAGGUUUAUUUCUCUAGAGACUUCAUUCUAGAGGUCAUGCUGGGGCCUAAGUGUGGAAGGUGGAAGGACAUGCUGGUUGCAGAGAAAGGAGACUCUUCUAUUUCUGUGCAUCUGGAAGCCCAGAAAUGAAAGUGGCCACAAUGCUGGCUAUAGUAUUUGGAAAAUCCCUGAGAGAUGCUGGGGUGGCAUUGAAUAGCUCUGUGGGAUCCGUGGGCAUGGUUGAGGAAAUAUGGCUGGAAAUAGAUGUUCCCAUUUCACACCACACUUGGCCUUGGUCCAGCAGACACACACAAGCACUGGCUCUGCCCUUUAUGCUGUCAAUGGCAGGUAGGUAAGUGUCCUGUGUUCCUAGCUUUCCUCAUCACACCUCCAUGGAAAGAAGCCUUCACUAAGGUGCAGGAACUAGCUGGCUGUCUCUGCCACCCCUUCUACUUCUCGAGGACAAAGGUACUUACUGUCUCGAUCAUCUUUGUAUCCCACAUGCAGGAGUUACUCUAUAUAUUUGAAUAAUGCUUACAGAAAUAAGAAAGCAAGCUAGAGCUCGGAGGGUGAACCCCUAAGAAAUGUCAAAGCCUAAAAUUUGGAAAAUUAUGAUUCUGUAGUAUAUAGUGUUUAGUGUUUUCCAUAUAUUUGUUUUAUAAUCCUAAUGAUUCUAUAUCUAAUUAUUAUUAUCUCACUUACAAAUCUUCCACUGGAGGUUCUAGAAGCAAGAAAACACAGGUCUCAUGUAGUGAAGCCAGGAUUAGAACUCACUACUAUUAGGCAACCAACCUUUCUUUGCCCAAGCUGAUCUCAGAGUCUUGAUUCCAGGGUAUAUCACUAUCCAUGUUUCUUUAGGGAUUUCCCUGGGCCUGGGCCUGGGUCCCAUUUUUCCCAUCUGUAAAAUAGGGGGAGAGACCGAUUAAGAUCCCAUCAGCUGCUUGUCAGUGGGUGUCCGGAGCGCAGGAGGAGGAGGUGUGCAGUCAGGCAGACUGGGUGAUGUCAAGUGUGAGUCCCCAGUAAACUGGAUGUUGUUUCGCCAGUGUGAAAAAAGUGAACAGGGAGCCAGUCAGUGGCACAGAGCCUUCUAGAGGCAGUUCAUCCCAGGGCCUGGAAGUCCAAUCUAGGACUGGUGAGUGACCAAGCUAGUGUAAUAGAGAACAGUGAUCCCAAAAGAUGUGCAUGGUCCUGUUUGUGUGUUUGCAGAGUAAGGCACACAUAUGUGCACACUUAUGCACACAUGGAUACAGCCAUCAAGAGAGGGGAUCCCUGGGUGGCGCAGCGGUUUGGCGCCUGCCUUUGGCCCGGGGCGCGAUCCUGGAGACCCGGGAUCGAAUCCCACAUCGGGCUCCCGGUGCAUGGAGCCUG
This is a long non-coding RNA of Canis lupus familiaris (dog), 2092 nucleotides long. RefSeq lists it as uncharacterized. The transcript has 4 exons. Lineage: Eukaryota; Metazoa; Chordata; Mammalia; Carnivora; Canidae. The record is from RefSeq and is a predicted model, not a curated record.